Molecule: ribosomal RNA, 497 nt
Filed under: uncultured bacterium
Lineage: Bacteria
Description: partial 16S ribosomal RNA
Rfam family: Bacterial small subunit ribosomal RNA
Source: RNAcentral
GACGAACGCUGGCGGCGUGCCUAAUACAUGCAAGUUGAGCGCUGAAGGUUGGUACUUGUACCAACUGGAUGAGCAGCGAACGGGUGAGUAACGCGUGGGGAAUCUGCCUUUGAGCGGGGGACAACAUUUGGAAACGAAUGCUAAUACCGCAUAAAAACUUUAAACACAAGUUUUAAGUUUGAAAGAUGCAAUUGCAUCACUCAAAGAUGAUCCCGCGUUGUAUUAGCUAGUUGGUGAGGUAAAGGCUCACCAAGGCGAUGAUACAUAGCCGACCUGAGAGGGUGAUCGGCCACAUUGGGACUGAGACACGGCCCAAACUCCUACGGGAGGCAGCAGUAGGGAAUCUUCGGCAAUAGACGAAAGUCUGACCGAGCAACGCCGCGUGAGUGAAGAAGGUUUUCGGAUCGUAAAACUCUGUUGGUAGAGAAGAACGUUGGUGAGAGUGGAAAGCUCAUCAAGUGACGAUAACUACCCAGAAAGGGACGGCUAACUACGUG